AGGCCUUCGGGUUGUAAAGUACUUUCAGUAGGGAGGAAGGCAGUGUCGUUAAUAGCGGCAUUGUUUGACGUUACCUACAGAAGAAGCACCGGCUAACUCCGUGCCAGCAGCCGCGGUAAUACGGAGGGUGCGAGCGUUAAUCGGAAUUACUGGGCGUAAAGCGCAUGCAGGCGGUCUGUUAAGCAAGAUGUGAAAGCCCGGGGCUCAACCUCGGAACAGCAUUUUGAACUGGCAGACUAGAGUCUUGUAGAGGGGGGUAGAAUUUCAGGUGUAGCGGUGAAAUGCGUAGAGAUCUGAAGGAAUACCGGUGGCGAAGGCGGCCCCCUGGACAAAGACUGACGCUCAGAUGCGAAAGCGUGGGGAGCAAACAGGAUUAGAUACCCUGGUAGUCCACGCCGUAAACGAUGUCUACUUGGAGGUUGUGGCCUUGAGCCGUGGCUUUCGGAGCUAACGCGUUAAGUAGACCGCCUGGGGAGUACGGUCGCAAGAUUAAAACUCAAAUGAAUUGACGGGGGCCCGCACAAGCGGUGGAGCAUGUGGUUUAAUUCGAUGCAACGCGAAGAACCUUACCUACUCUUGACAUCCAGAGAACUUUCCAGAGAUGGAUUGGUGCCUUCGGGAACUCUGAGACAGGUGCUGCAUGGCUGUCGUCAGCUCGUG
This 660-nucleotide ribosomal RNA is filed under the name Photobacterium sp. RNAcentral's name for it is "bacterial SSU rRNA". It matches the Rfam family "Bacterial small subunit ribosomal RNA", at positions 412 to 1064 of the family's 1533-position model. Lineage: Bacteria; Pseudomonadati; Pseudomonadota; Gammaproteobacteria; Vibrionales; Vibrionaceae. The record is from RNAcentral.